CGCAAGUCGAACGAUUAAAGCUCUCUUCGGAGAGUGCAUAGAGUGGCGCACGGGUGAGUAACACGUAAGUAAUCUACCUUCGAGUGGGGAAUAACGUCCGGAAACGGACGCUAAUACCGCAUAAUGCAGCGGCAUCGUAAGAUGACAGUUGUUAAAGAUUUAUCGCUUGAAGAGGAGCUUGCGGCAGAUUAGCUAGUUGGUAAGGUAAUGGCUUACCAAGGCUACGAUCUGUAACCGGUCUUAGAGGACGGUCGGUCACACUGACACUGAAUAACGGGUCAGACUCCUACGGGAGGCAGCAGUCGGGAAUUUUGGGCAAUGGGCGAAAGCCUGACCCAGCAACGCCGCGUGAAGGAUGAAGUAUUUCGGUAUGUAAACUUCGAAAGAAUAGGAAGAAUAAAUGACGGUACUAUUUAUAAGGUCCGGCUAACUACGUGCCAGCAGCCGCGGUAAUACGUAGGGACCAAGCGUUGUUCGGAUUUACUGGGCGUAAAGGGCGCGUAGGCGGCUUUGUAAGUCACUUGUGAAAUCUCUGAGCUUAACUCAGAACGGCCAAGUGAUACUGCAAUGCUAGAGUGCAGAAGGGGCAAUCGGAAUUCUUGGUGUAGCGGUGAAAUGCGUAGAUAUCAAGAGGAACACCUGAGGUGAAGACGGGUUGCUGGGCUGACACUGACGCUGAUGCGCGAAAGCCAGGGGAGCAAACGGGAUUAGAUACCCCGGUAGUCCUGGCCCUAAACGAUGAAUACUUGGUGUCUGGAGUUAUUAGUGCUCCGGGUGCCGUCGCUAACGUUUUUAGUAUUCCGCCUGGGGAGUACGCUCGCAAGAGUGAAACUCAAAGGAAUUGACGGGGACCCGCACAAGCGGUGGAGCAUGUGGUUUAUUUCGACGCAACGCGAAAAACCUUACCCUACCCUUUGACAUGUCUGGGAAUUUUCGCAGAGA
This 942-nucleotide ribosomal RNA is filed under the name uncultured Acidobacteriota bacterium. RNAcentral's name for it is "bacterial SSU rRNA". It matches the Rfam family "Bacterial small subunit ribosomal RNA", at positions 56 to 1006 of the family's 1533-position model. The record is from RNAcentral. Lineage: Bacteria; Pseudomonadati; Acidobacteriota.